UAUUGACAGGCGCCAUAAUGUUAUACCGGUAAACAACAUUUUGAACAUGAAUCGAGAACAGGAGUUGAAUCAGUUGAUGCAGAUAUUCUGAGGAGAAUCUUCCAGUCAUUGAAAUAUAUUUCAUGAUAGUCAUGCAGAUUCAGAAGUUGUGAUGGUGUGUUGAUAGGCUGUCUUCAACUUGCCAUAUCUUAGAGUUCCAACAUGCAGGCCUGGAUUAAUGUGUAUAAAUCACUAAUGAAAAAAAGAAUGACAUUUCAAUUUAUACACACUUGCCAAGUGAAUCUGAUGAGACUGCUACAUGUAUUUGUGAGUAAAGGCACUCUGUCUUAACCGAAAAACUAUUUACAGUUUAUCACAACAAAUGGAUGGGACAGUAGAGCUGUUGCGGACAAUAUGUGAUUGUGAUGACCAAGUACUGAACAAGUGGAAGAUUAGAAGAAGGUCCAGAAUUCAAUCAUGUUUUUGAUUCUAAGGUGCACACAGCAUGGAGAUAGUCCUAUUAUUCUCCCGUUCAUCUAUGAUGGAGAAACUUGUGUAAAUGUUUAGUGUUCUCCCUAAUAAUUAAGUGCCCACAAGUCUGUAUUAAUUUAUCAGAAUAUAAAGUCCUUCACAGUACUGAUUUUAAAAUUAAUGUAGAUUGUCUCCAGAUUUUUCUGAGGAAAAGUGCAUAGUUUACAUGUGUGAAUUUUGAAUAUAUUUCAUUCUUGUCUGCAAAUGUUGCCGAAAUCUGUUGUUAUUGAUGCACAGUCAUGUUAUGCAAAUGAUAGACCUUCUUAACUACAUGUACAGAAGAUCAUGUCAACUCCUUUGUCUUAAUUGUAUACACAAUUCUAGCAUUUAUAGCAUCAUUUAUAUAGCACUUGCUAGCUUAAGAAGGAUUUUAUUUUCUAAAAGCUUUCAUUUGACAUGAUUGAUCUAAAACGGCCAAAAUUCACAAAUCUAUUUAAAUCACAACCUGACCUUAUGUCAGAAAAGUGCCACUGUGGGUUGAUAUUUUUCUCUUGGAUCUUGAAAGAAAUUCUUUAUGCAGCAGUUUCCAAAUAAAAUGUACUCUCAUGGCCAGGGUGGGACUUCACUGAGAACUUUUUAACAUUGCACAAUGCAAUAUUUGUAGAUUAGAAGUUGUUGCAGUUUCUUUAAGUUUUCUCUCACAUCUUGUUAUAAUUAUAUUUUAUAUUUUUGGUUGGGUUGCACAAUGUGCAAACAGUUUAUAAAAUGGUGAAUGACUCAGUGGUGGGCAAGCGACAGUAGCGUCCCUGUAAUAGUACCUACUUUGUGUAAUCAACUCCUUUCAUACCUCUCACUUGAUGUUCCUUAAACUUUGUACAGUUGUUAGGGAUACAUUGAAGAUGUGCAUGUGCCUUUUUGAAAGUGAUCAGACAUUUUUUGAAAAAUUUACAUGUAGUUGAACUUCGUCAUUUUUAAGCAUUUCUUUAAUCGACAGUACCUAUUUUGUGUAAUCAACUCCUCGUAUACCUCUAACUUGACAUUCCUCAAACUGUGUACAUUUGUUUUGAACACAUUGAAAAUGUGCAUAUGUGUUUUUGAAAGUGAUCAGACAUUUAAAAAAAAAUGUAUAUGUAGUUGAACUUAGUCAUUUUUAAGCAUUUCUUGAAUAGAUGGUAACUAUUUUGUGUAAUCAAAUCUUCAUGCACCUCUAACUUGACAUUCCUUAAACUUUGUACAGUUGUUAUGAACACAUUGAAGAUGUGCAUGCAUCUUUUUGAAAAUGAUUAGACUUUUAAAAAAAAAAAAAAUUAUGUGUAGUUGAACUUGGUCAUUUUUAUGCAUUUCUUGAAUAGAUGGUACCUAUUUUUUGUGAUCAACUCGUGCACAUCUAAAUUGAUAUUCCUCAAACUUUGUACAGUAGUUAUGGACACAUUGAAGAUGUGCAUGUGUCUUUUUGAAAGUGAUCAGACUUUUUUCAAAAAAAUUACAUUUAGUUGAACUUUGUCAUUUUUUAAGCAUUUCCUGAAUAGAUGGUACUUAUUUUUUGUAAUCAACUCCUCUUACAGCAUUUAUUUGACAUUCUUCAGACCUUGAACAGCUGUUAUGGAAGCAUUGUAAAUGUGCAUGUGUCUUUUCAGAAGUGAUCAGGCAUUCUUUGAAAAAUUUACAUGUGCAUGGUGAAGUUGAACUUAGUCAUUUUUUUAAGCAUGGUACGUUAUGUAACCAACUCAGCUUUUACUUAACAUUUUCCAGACCCUGUACAUUAUAGAUGUUUUAAAAACAUUGAAGAUAUUCAUGUAACAUUUUAAAAAUGCUUCUCUUUUUUUUUUCUCUCUCUCUUUUUUGUUGUUGAAAAAUUCUACCUUUAAUUUGUCAUUUUCCCAGUAUAUGUUUCUACUGUUGUUCCUAUGAUAGAGAACAUAUUUUACAAGAACCCGGUCAUUUCUGUUUUUGAAUAAAAAAAUUUUAAUUAGUAUUUUUGAAUAUGUUAAUUACUUGAUAUGUCAUUGUUCUUGAAAUUAUAUUAAUUGAAUUGUUA
This is a long non-coding RNA of Ostrea edulis (European flat oyster), 2488 nucleotides long. RefSeq lists it as uncharacterized. The transcript has 2 exons. NCBI's taxonomy places the organism in Eukaryota, Metazoa, Mollusca, Bivalvia, Ostreida, Ostreidae. The record is from RefSeq and is a predicted model, not a curated record.